ACGUGGACUGUCUGGGGGGAGAGCGAAAAUGUGGACUGUCUGGGGAUCUUCGAGGGCCAACUUCAGAAACGCUAAAGUGGCACCACUGAUGCCCCCAGUCGUUUAAUCGGCAGAAUCAGACUCCAGUUCGAACAAAGCCGAGCACCUCGAGGCAUCGCCAGCCCCUCCGCCUCGCUCCGAUGGCGUUAUUUCCGUCCUUCAGGGAACAAGCGCAGAUCGCCGAAAAAAGUGGGUUAAGCCCGCGGAACGUGUCUGAGAACGGCAGGUAUUCUGGGCCUGGUGCGUCCCAGCUCCUCAUCGCUCUAAUAAUCGCCCCGGUUCAGCCCAAUCAGCUGCCUCCUGCAAAUCCCACAGCCCUUUAUACUGCAGCCAAACACGUGAAUUAUGUUUGUUAACACUUAGGAACCAGAAUGUGUACCAUGUGACACGUGUAGCCGCUGCUCUGUAUGAGCCUGUUAAAUAGCCUCUCAGGGACUCAGGGAGAUGAAACAGCGACAUCAUGGGCCUCCGGGACGCAUCAGCCGGGUACGUCGUGGCAGGUGAGUUAUGGAAUGAGCCACCAACUCCCUUCAAUAGGCCAGAAAUACCUGCUCACGUUGUGCCGGCGGCCUGUGUGUCUGUUUUGAUGUCUUUCAGAGGAUGAAAGCAGACAGCCUUCUUUCCUGGCGGGCGUGAACGAGACACACCACUCGCUUCCGCGUGGCCGCCGUCCAGGCCCCGCCCCUCUGGAACGCCCGUCGCCACACACUGUGGCCGCCGUCCAAUUCACACUCUGCCUCAAUUAGCCGCAGGAAACGGGGCUCAGGUGCAGCGAGAAGCGGCCAGCGUCACGCACUCCCACCCUGGGGAGCAAUCGCAGAACAUCACUCCAACAGCAGGGGGCUCAGCAGUUGAGGAACAAGGAGGAAUCUGCUGUACCGACGGCCAGAAAAUGUCGAGGGGGGAGACCAUAUGCGCCUCAUGAAAGACAGAUGCAUGCGCACAGGUGCGUCAUGCACGGAGACCGCCUCAGAAAGGUGGAGGCGGGUGGCCGCAGAGGCAGGGGCCCGGGGACAGACAGAGCAGAUGCUCUAGAUCCGGAGGACCUGUGGCUCCGUCUCUGCGAGCAAGAAUCUGGGUCUGCAUCUGGCCCCGGUGAUUGGAGCCAGGGUGAAGAAACCGGGCAGAGGAGUCAGAGCAGGGGAGCUGGGUGGAGGAGUCAGGGCAGAGAAGCCAAGCUGGAGGAACCAGGGAAGAGGAGUCGGUUGGAGGAGUCAUGGCAGAGGAGCUUGGUGGAGGAGCCGGACCAGACAAGCCACCUGCAGCACAGGCAUGCAGGUCUCAGCACGGCACAGAAACAUUGUGUGUUACGGCGCAGAAACCCCAAAGGGGGCUGAUCGCAGUUCUCCGCUGACCUCUCGUGCCGCAAUCUCAGCGGCUAAUGGAACGAUGACCAGAAACUUGUUUGUUCGAAUCCCAAAAGGGUUUCUAUGUUGUACCUUUGAGCGACCAGUAAAAACUGCCAUAAAAGACUUUUUUAUGUGUGGUUAAAGUAUCAAAAUGUGUAUUGGAUAAGCUUAUUAGAUAAUCAUAUUUGACUCCCAGAAAGGGCCCUUCUGUUGUACCUUGGCACAAGCCAGCAUAAAAUGCCAUAAA
Paramormyrops kingsleyae is the source of this 1635-nucleotide long non-coding RNA. RefSeq lists it as uncharacterized. NCBI's taxonomy places the organism in Eukaryota, Metazoa, Chordata, Actinopteri, Osteoglossiformes, Mormyridae. The record is from RefSeq and is a predicted model, not a curated record.